CAGCCGCCACGGGAAUACGUAGGGUGCAAGCGUUAAUCGGAAUUACUGGGCGUAAAGCGUGCGCAGGCGGUCCGCUAAGACAGAUGUGAAAUCCCCGGGCUUAACCUGGGAACUGCAUUUGUGACUGGCGGGCUAGAGUAUGGCAGAGGGGGGUAGAAUUCCACGUGUAGCAGUGAAAUGCGUAGAUAUGUGGAGGAACACCGAUGGCGAAGGCAGCCCCCUGGGCCAAUACUGACACUCAUGCACGAAAGCGUGGGGAGCAAACAGGAUUAGAUACCCCCGUAGUCCCUGUCUCUUAUAC
Molecule: ribosomal RNA, 301 nt
Filed under: uncultured bacterium
Lineage: Bacteria
Description: partial 16S ribosomal RNA
Rfam family: Bacterial small subunit ribosomal RNA
Source: RNAcentral